UAUUAUUAUUAUUAGGGUUAAGUUCAUACAUGUUUCGGUAAAUAUAGUGAGUAAUAAAUAAUUUUUUAUAAAAUUCAACUUUCAUGUGCUGUUUCUAUAAAAAUUCUAAUGUUUUCAAAUAUAUCUCUAUGGUUUGUUACCGUUAGAGAAUUGUUAAAGAACCGUUUAUAUUUUCAAUUUUGGCAUCACAAAUAUAUCCCUUCAAAAGCCAUAUUAGUGUAAUAUAAAAGGGUACAAAUGUCAAAAACUAACUAGAGUUAAGUAUUUAACUUAUGGUUAACUAAUUUUUUCUAACGGAUUCUAACAGCAGAGGUAUAUUUGAAAAUAUCAGGAUUUUUACAGAAACAAUAUAUGAAAAUUAAACUUUAUAUAAGAAAUAUAUUUAUUAUUCACUAUAUUUACAGGAACAUGUAUGAAAUUAACCCAUAUUAUUAUUUUAGACAAAAUUAAGGUCAAACUCAUUUAAACGACACCUUUUUAAAGAUUUUAAUAUUCUCAAGAUGGGCCUUCAAAUAAAGAGAAAGUGUUACGACUAGGAGAGAAAGUGUUAUGACCAGCACACAAAUAGAAAAGAUAAACGACUUGCGUUCGCAAAGUAGAUAAAUCAUAGAAAAAUAGUAAUAUAAAAUGAACAUAAAGAUUCACAUGAAAAAUCUUUUGCAGAAAUAAAUCACGGACGAGGAAGGAGAAAGCUUCACUAUACAGAAAAGAGAAAUAUAAUGUUGCUAAGUACAAUCAAUUUAUGUAUCGCCUCUAGGACAAAACUAAGAUAGAAACCUUCUAACGGGUUUCGCAUUCUAUCGGUCCUAGUCCUCUGCUAUCCAUUAUAGAGAUCUAUUUUUUUUCUUUAUAAUUUUUUUAUAUUAAUUUUGUCGCAUCGCAAAACUGUCGACGAGCCAAAAUCUCAAAACUGAAGUCGAUUACUAAAUUUU
This 932-nucleotide long non-coding RNA is filed under the name Ananas comosus (pineapple). Its description in RNAcentral is "long non-coding RNA (ACOM_LNC031820)". The record is from RNAcentral. Lineage: Eukaryota; Viridiplantae; Streptophyta; Magnoliopsida; Poales; Bromeliaceae.